RNAcentral lists this long non-coding RNA (221 nucleotides) under Pogona vitticeps (central bearded dragon). RNAcentral's name for it is "lncRNA (ENSPVIG00000018513.1)". Lineage: Eukaryota; Metazoa; Chordata; Lepidosauria; Squamata; Agamidae. The record is from RNAcentral.
AGGAGGACAAGGGAAAGGGGGCGAGGAGCCGGCCCCGCUUCCCCCCUUGCCCCGCCGUGCCAACUUGGGCAGCUGUAACAGACGCAGCGGCUUUUUCGAACCAGAACUCCGGGCGGCGGCGGCGGCGGAGGGGGUGGUGGUGGUGGAGCGGAGGGAAGGAGCGGGAGAGACCGGCCCGGGGCCGCCUCGCCGCUCCUGCCCCGCCGCCAUGGGCACCGGGA